RNAcentral lists this unclassified non-coding RNA (253 nucleotides) under Patescibacteria group bacterium. Its description in RNAcentral is "contains 16S-23S intergenic spacer region". It matches the Rfam family "Bacterial small subunit ribosomal RNA", at positions 524 to 776 of the family's 1533-position model. The record is from RNAcentral.
UACAGAGACCUCAAGCGUUAUCCGGAUUUACUGGGCGUAAAGCGUCCGCAGCCUGUUUGACUAGUCGGGUGUUAAAUUUCAGGGCUCAACUCUGAAACCGCAUUCGAAACGGUCAAACUAGAGGCCGGGAGAGGCAGAUGGAACUACCGGUGUAGUAGUAAAAUGCGUUAAUAUCGGUAGGAACACCAAAGGCGAAGGCAUUCUGCUGGAACGGCCCUGACGGUCAGGGACGAAAGCGUGGGGAGCGAAGCGG